GGUUGUGGCUCAGAGGUAGAGCGCUUGCCUAGCAAACAUGAGGCACUGGGUUUGAUCCUCGGCACCA
This 67-nucleotide transfer RNA is filed under the name Marmota monax (woodchuck). Its description in RNAcentral is "tRNA.Ala". Lineage: Eukaryota; Metazoa; Chordata; Mammalia; Rodentia; Sciuridae. The record is from RNAcentral.